GUGAGUCAUCGAAUCUUUGAACGCACAUUGCGCCCACCAGCAUUCUGAUGGGCAUGCCUGUUCGAGCGUCAUUUCAACCCUCAGGCUCCGCCUGGUGUUGGGGCCUUGUGUUUCUACAAGCCCCGAAAGACAGUGGCGGGCUCCGUAGGACCCCGAGCGUAGUACACCUCUCGCUCCGGGCGUUCGCGGCUCCCAGCCGUCAACCUGUUUUAUACUCCAUAAAGUUGACCUCGGAUCAGGUAGGAAUACCCGCUGAACUUAAGCAUAUCAAUAAGCGGAGGA
This 282-nucleotide unclassified non-coding RNA is filed under the name Sordariales sp. RNAcentral describes it as "partial contains 5.8S ribosomal RNA, internal transcribed spacer 2, and large subunit ribosomal RNA". The stretch from base 226 to 282 matches the Rfam family "Eukaryotic large subunit ribosomal RNA", at positions 1 to 57 of the family's 3401-position model. Lineage: Eukaryota; Fungi; Ascomycota; Sordariomycetes; Sordariales. The record is from RNAcentral.